RNAcentral lists this ribosomal RNA (428 nucleotides) under uncultured archaeon. RNAcentral describes it as "bacterial SSU rRNA". It matches the Rfam family "Archaeal small subunit ribosomal RNA", at positions 474 to 903 of the family's 1478-position model. The record is from RNAcentral.
UACCAGCUCUCCGAGUGGUGUGGAUGUUUAUUGGGCCUAAAGCAUCCGUAGCUGGCUGGACAAGUCCCCUGUUAAAUCCACCGAUUUAAUCGUUGGAGUGCGGGGGAUACUGUUCGGCUAGGGGACGGGAGAGGCAGACGGUAUUUUCGGGGUAGGGGUGAAAUCCUAUAAUCCCUGGAAGACCACCAGUGGCGAAGGCUGUCUGCUAGAACGCGCCCGACGGUGAGGGAUGAAAGCUGGGGGAGCGGACCGGAUUAGAUACCCGGGUAGUCCCAGCUGUAAACGAUGCAGGCUAGGUGUUUGGGCGGCCACGUGCCGCUCUAGUGCCGCAGGGAAGCCGUUAAGCCUGCCGCCUGGGGAGUACGGCCGCAAGGCUGAAACUUAAAGGAAUUGGCGGGGAGCACCACAAGGCGUGAAGCUUGCGGUUC